This 318-nucleotide ribosomal RNA is filed under the name uncultured bacterium. RNAcentral describes it as "bacterial SSU rRNA". It matches the Rfam family "Bacterial small subunit ribosomal RNA", at positions 495 to 808 of the family's 1533-position model. The record is from RNAcentral.
AUCAGACACGGUGUCAGCAGCCGCGGUAAUACGUAGGUGGCAAGCGUUGUCCGGAUUUAUUGGGCGUAAAGCGAAGUGCAGGCGGUUCAAUAAGUCUGAUGUGAAAGCCUUCGGCUCAACCGGAGAAUUGCAUCAGAAACUGUUGAACUUGAGUGCAGAAGAGGAGAGUGGAACUCCAUGUGUAGCGGUGGAAUGCGUAGAUAUAUGGAAGAACACCAGUGGCGAAGGCGGCUCUCGUGGUCUGCAACUGACGCUGAGGCUCGAAAGCAUGGGUAGCGAACAGGAUUAGAUACCCGUGGUAGUCCGAUGCCGUAAACG